AACGAACGCUGGCGGCAGGCUUAACACAUGCAAGUCGAACGCACCUUUCGGGGUGAGUGGCAGACGGGUGAGUAACGCGUGGGAAUCUACCCUUCUCUACGGGAUAGCUCCGGGAAACUGGAAUUAAUACCGUAUACGUCCUGAGGGAGAAAGAUGUAUCGGGGCAGGAUGAGCCCGCGUUGGAUUAGCUAGUUGGUGGGGUAAAGGCCUACCAAGGCGACGAUCCAGAGCUGGUCGAAGAGGAUGAUCAGCCACAUUGGGACUGAGACACGGCCCAAACUCCUACGGGAGGCAGCAGUGGGGAAUAUUGGACAAUGGGCGCAAGUCUGAUCCAGCCACGCCGCGUGAGUGAUGAAGGCCCUAGGGUUGUAAAGCUCUUUCAGUGGGGACGAUAAUGACGGUACCCACAGAAGAAGCCCCGGCUAACUUCGUG
Molecule: ribosomal RNA, 433 nt
Filed under: uncultured bacterium
Lineage: Bacteria
Description: partial 16S ribosomal RNA
Rfam family: Bacterial small subunit ribosomal RNA
Source: RNAcentral